GACGAACGCUGGCGGCGUGCUUAACACAUGCAAGUCGAACGGAAAGGCCCUGCUUUUGUGGGGUGCUCGAGUGGCGAACGGGUGAGUAACACGUGAGUAACCUGCCCUUGACUUUGGGAUAACUUCAGGAAACUGGGGCUAAUACCGGAUAGGAGCUCCUGCUGCAUGGUGGGGGUUGGAAAGUUUCGGCGGUUGGGGAUGGAUUCGCGGCUUAUCAGCUUGUUGGUGGGGUAGUGGCUUACCAAGGCUUUGACGGGUAGCCGGCCUGGGAGGGUGACCGGCCACAUUGGGACUGAGAUACGGCCCAGACUCCUACGGGAGGCAGCAGUGGGGAAUAUUGCACAAUGGGCGGAAGCCUGAUGCAGCAACGCCGCGUGCGGGAUGACGGCCUUCGGGUUGUAAACCGCUUUCGCCUGUGACGAAGCGUGAGUGACGGUAAUGGGUAAAGAAGCACCGGCUAACUACGUG
Molecule: ribosomal RNA, 468 nt
Filed under: uncultured bacterium
Lineage: Bacteria
Description: partial 16S ribosomal RNA
Rfam family: Bacterial small subunit ribosomal RNA
Source: RNAcentral